Molecule: ribosomal RNA, 461 nt
Filed under: uncultured bacterium
Lineage: Bacteria
Description: bacterial SSU rRNA
Rfam family: Bacterial small subunit ribosomal RNA
Source: RNAcentral
AACGAACGCUGGCGGCAGGCCUAACACAUGCAAGUCGAGCGCCCCGCAAGGGGAGCGGCGGACGGGUGAGUAACGCGUGGGAACGUACCCUUUGCUACGGAAUAGCCUCGGGAAACUGGGAGUAAUACCGUAUGUGCCCUUCGGGGGAAAGAUUUAUCGGCAAAGGAUCGGCCCGCGUUGGAUUAGGUAGUUGGUGGGGUAAUGGCCUACCAAGCCGACGAUCCAUAGCUGGUUUGAGAGGAUGAUCAGCCACACUGGGACUGAGACACGGCCCAGACUCCUACGGGAGGCAGCAGUGGGGAAUCUUAGACAAUGGGCGCAAGCCUGAUCUAGCCAUGCCGCGUGAGCGAUGAAGGCCUUAGGGUUGUAAAGCUCUUUCAGUUGGGGAAGAUAAUGACUGUACCCACAAGAAGAAGCCCCGGCUAACUCCGUGCCAGCAGCCGCGGUAAAACGUGUGUGUA